RNAcentral lists this long non-coding RNA (1657 nucleotides) under Pogona vitticeps (central bearded dragon). RNAcentral describes it as "lncRNA (ENSPVIG00000024474.1)". Lineage: Eukaryota; Metazoa; Chordata; Lepidosauria; Squamata; Agamidae. The record is from RNAcentral.
AGGGGGAAAGGAGGGGCUCCCGCCGCUCGCUCGCCUCACGAGCUCGGCGGCGGGGCUGCGAGGAGGGAGAGGGCUGAGGAGGAGGAGGAGGCGGCCUUCGCCGGGCCUGCGUUUAGGAGGCUGGGGCCUAGCGGGACGGUCGGCCAGCCGUGUAGGGUCCGAGAAGGGAAAAGCCUCGGCUGCUCGGAGGGGGUGGCUGUGGGCUGCUCAGCGGCGCCGGUGGGCGGAGGGAGGGCGCGGCGCUGACAAGCUCUCCUCCCCCUUAUAUAUACAGUAUACAGUAUAUAUAUAGAUAGGGGAAGGGGUUGCUCGGGAGCCCCCUGGAAGUCUCGCCCCUCUCCCUCUCGGCGCCCCUUUCCCGCUCUUCACACUUGAAUUUCUUCUGUAUUUUUUUCCCUUCCAAGUCGCACCUUUUCCUCUCCGGAUUCAUGUGCUGACCGCUCGUUUCUUUUGCCUUCCUCUUCUUCCUCCUCCUCACCACCACCUUCUAUUUCUGGGCUUCCUGAGGGCAUCUGCUUGGCCGCUGUGUGUGGGGAGAGAGAGAGAGUUAGGGUGGGAACGAGAUGGGGGGCCUUUGGUCCGAUCCGUCAGGGCUGGUCUUAUAUUCCUGGAAGUCAGUGUGCCUGUUCGGAUCUGCACUGUGCACAGAAGUCCAUGUGGGGAGGAGGAGGAGGAAAAGGAAAGGAUCUGUGGCAGUCACUCCUCUGUUUGUGCAAAAUGGCAUUAAAAAAAACAGGCAAUCUCCAACAUAUAAAUAAUCCCCCUGGAACUAAAGCCAAAAGUACACUGCUCCUGGAUCAAUUAAAGGAAAAGCAUGAAAUAUUUGUGGUUAACUUUGAAGACAAGCAACAGCAGUUAGGUCACCGUACUGCAGUAUGUUCUUUUAUUUAACUGUCAUGGAAUAUGAAUUGUCAUAGAAAGUACAGCUAUUACACCAGUCAUAAUUUGUAUUGAAUGUUACAACUUCAGAGAAAGUUGGAUUUAUCCAUUUUCAGCAGUUAACUCUAAAGUAAAAGACACAAUUCUUACCAACAAAAAGUUACUGUAAAGGAUAUUUGCUAUUUGGAGCAAUCUCUGUGAAAGCCAUUGCUAAUAUUUAAACUGUUUAUAUAAUUUUAAUGUGGCAAUGUACACAGACUCUGACCUAAAAAUACUGUCUUUACUGGCUUAAUAUGAAUGCAAGGAAUGAGAAAUUAAUAAGCAAAUAGAAAUUGUAGACUCCUUACGUGUACCAGAGAUACCUGGUGUGGUGUAGUGGGUUGAGUAACAGACCAGGACUCAAGAGGCCUGGGUUCCAGUCCUUGCUCAGCCAUGGAAAAUCAUUUGGGGGGGGGGGGUUGGAACUCGUAAAAUAUGCACAUAGGUAAUUUGUGUAACUUGCUGUGGGAACUUAGUGUUGACUAAUAAGGUGUUGGUUGUAUGCCUAAGCAUUGCCUUUUGCAUAAUUAGUUGUAUCUCACAGUGCAACUGUUCAUCAUUAUUUAGCAGCAGUUCACCACUGUGAUUUAUGCUAUGUAACUUUCACAUGAGCUAUGUAACUUGCACAUCAGUGUACCCAGUGUGGUGCAGUGGACAGAGUGACAGACUAGGACAGGGGUCAGGGAACUUUUUUACCUUUUACCCCCCAAAAAAUUUAUAUACGUUGACAUUACCACCC